UACGUAGGGUGCAAGCGUUUGUCCGGAAUUAUUGGGCGUAAAGAGCUCGUAGGCGGCUUGUCACGUCUGCUGUGAAAUCCCGGGGCUCAACCCCGGGCGUGCAGUGGAUACGGGCUGGCUAGAGGCAGGCAGGGGAGAACGGAAUUCCCGGUGUAGCGGUGAAAUGCGCAGAUAUCGGGAGGAACACCGGUGGCGAAGGCGGUUCUCUGGGCCUGUACUGACGCUGAGGAGCGAAAGCGUGGGGAGCGAACAGG
RNAcentral lists this ribosomal RNA (254 nucleotides) under uncultured bacterium. RNAcentral describes it as "partial 16S ribosomal RNA". It matches the Rfam family "Bacterial small subunit ribosomal RNA", at positions 524 to 776 of the family's 1533-position model. The record is from RNAcentral.